ACCAGAUGCAGGGAUCCCAGGGACAGGCUGAGUGGAGGAGGCCAGACCAGAACAUAGAAGACAAGUGAGUGGGGCUGGGCUGUGGGGGAGGGGUGGGGUGGCAGGGAACAGGCAGACCAUCCCUUCUACCCACAGGAUCCUGCUGCUGCAGACAGAAGUGGAAAAGGCCUAGCGGCAUUUGGACCAAAUGACCCAACAGCCUGUUGGCCCAGAGCCCAGCCUGGGGAUCCCCCAAGUGGGUGCAUGGCAGGCCCUGCGCACUGGCCCUGCUGUACCUUUGACUCUGCCCCACACUUUAUUCUCUGGUCCUCAUUAUUGAAGCAUUAUCUAGAGAAGGAAGGCAGCGCAGGGGCUUAGUCCAGCCAAGAGAGGGAUCCUCUUCCAACAUUUGGGAAUACCCUGGGAUCAUUCAGUGACUUCCCUCCUGGUUCAGAUGGGAAAACUGAGACCAGAGAGCAGAGGAGAGCUUGUUCAGAGUCAUAACUUGAGUUGGGGCCAGGACCCUGCCACAACAUGCCCUGAGGCAUCAACGGUCUGCCAAGACCACCCCAGUGUGGUCUGGAAGCUGGAAGGAGACCCCAGGAUUCUGGACCAAGUGUAUCUACAGGAGAUGCUGGUGCCAGGCCUGCAGAUCCAAGAGCAGAGCUGGGAUGGAGGCAGGGCCCAGGAGCUUCGGGACCCAGAGUCUCCAUGCCAGCAGCUGAGACCCCUGCCCAGGCUCAGGACACAGUCCGUCUGCAGGAGCAGUUGCUGAUACUCACUGAGGUGAACAAGAGACUCAGAAGAGCUGGGCCAGAGCCACCAGCAACUAGGGGCCUGCUUGGAGCAGCUGCAGCAUCUGCAGGGAGAGCAGAUGGUGUUGGGGGGCCAUUGCAGGCCCUGGAGGCAGAGCACACCUGGCUACUUCAGGAGAAGGUGGGGCUGCUAGCAGCACUGGGUGUGGCCCCGGGCCAAGAGUCCUGGUAGGUGGCUGCUUGGGCCCAUCCUCAGAGUGUCCAAGCCAGGCUGGGGUGGGGGCUCUGUUCUCACUGUAGGUGAGAUGGCCCUCUCAGCAGGCGGUGGGCCAGUCUCUGUCACCAGCUGGCUGAGGGGGAAUGGCCCAGAGCCCUAAACCCGGAAUCACACGACCAGAGCCAGUCUCCCUUCCCCAGGUAUCAGCGCUCCUGGUUGUCACAUUCUGGCUCUUUUAUGGGGUGGGAAAUCUUUCAGCUUCAAGAAGUCCUGUCUCGCCUACAUAUGGCCAAGCCCCUCCUGCUGGCCCAGGGGCAGGUGGGAGGUGGGGGUGAGAUGACCUUAGCUGCUGGGUGCAAGUCAGGGUCCUUGGGAGUAGAAGUGCCCAGUACAAAGGGGUUCUGUGUGUGCAGGGAGCCAUGAAAGAGGCAUCUCUGCCCCACUCCCCCUCCUAGUUCAUAAGACAAUAAUCACUGAAAGGGAGUGGGGUGGGGGUGAUCUGGGGUCCAUGCUGUACCUGGACUGCACCAUUUCUUCCAGUACACUCCAGGUCCUGGAGGUACCAGUGCCCCUCAGGAAAGAGCUAGAGGCACAAGAAUCACAUCCCAGGCUUCAUGAGGAGAUGGCUGAAUAUUGGAAGGCACGCUGGCACCGGCUGGCAGUUGCCCUGAAAUUUAAAGAGGAGGAACUGCAGAGACUCCAGAGGCAGAGUGGGACCUGGCCUCCCCAGCAUGCAUUUAUUGAGCAUCUGCUACAUGCCUGGCCCUCUUCUGUGUGCAGAAGCAAUGUCAAAUCAGAUCACUCCUUGUCCUCAACAGCUUAUGGUUUGGGGGCACCCGGUAAUUGAGUAAGCAAUUAUUUAUUUAUUAUUGAUUGAUUUAUAAUCGAUUGAUUGAUUGCAUCAGGGUCUCUGUCACCCAGACUGAGGUGCAGUGGUGCAAUCAUAACUCACUGCAGCUUCAAACUCCUGGACUCAAGCGAUCCUCCUGCCUCAGGUAGCUGGGACUGCAGGCACGCAUCACCAUGCCUGGCUAAGUUUUUUUUUUUUUUUUUUUUUUUGUAGAGAUGGGGGUCUCACUACAUUGCCCAGGGUGGUCUUGAACUUCUGACCCUCAAGCAGUUCUCCCACCUUGGCCUCCCAAAGUUCUGAGACUACAGGCAUGAACCACUGUGCCUAUUUUGCAAGUAAUAAUUUAAUGUGCCAGAUGAGGGAAGAGGCACAGUGGGAGCUGGUUAAGGGGUGGCAGAUAGGAGAGUCCCUCCCAGAGAAGGGGUUUCUGAGCCUCUGAACCCUCACACAAGGAUAGACAGGCAUUUUCCAGGAGGAGAGAGGAAAUGAAGGGCAUUUCAGCAAGAGGAAACUGCACAUACAUAUACCCAGAGAGACAGGGGAGGAGUGUUGUAAAUAGCCCCUGAUCCACUUGAGAAGGAGAGUGGGUGAGGGGGUUACUAUGGACAUGGGACAGGGGCCAGAUCUAGGGUUUAGAUGUCCCAGCUCCUGUCCACCUGACUUCACCUCCAGCUUGGUGGCUGCCUUCUCCUGGUCAGCAUCCCUUAGUCUCCUGGGCAAGUGUAUGUGUGCAUGGACAGACAGACACACAGACAUGCAUGCACACACACACCCCCAGGAUACACAUCAGACAUCUGCAGACACCCCCAGAUAUGCACACACACAGACACAGAGAGAGAUACAGACACCAACGAGGUGCCUGGGAGCCAUAGGGAAGUAGUAUUCUAAGGACCCCAUGUGGGAUCCACGCUCUGCCACAAGGCACCUGACUGAAGCUGAUCUGCUGAUCUCGAUGGAAGGAAAAGGAGAGAAAGCUUAGCUGGCUUUGGGCCUCAUAAAGGUUGAGUUGGUCUAAAUCAGUGUAUCUCAAAUGGGUACACAACUGUGCUCAUAGGGGGCUGUUCCUUAAGUCUGCAGUGUAGUCUGCCACUAUAUAUUUGUACAGAGGAAAAUCUCAGUUUUUUGUUUUGUUGUUUUUUUUUUUUGUUUGUUUGUUUUUGUCUAUUUCUCAAACCAGACCCUUGAGGGUCAGAAGAUAUAUCCUCAGCGCCUGGAUGGGCUAUAUUCUUUGGUCAAGUCUGAGGACUUGCAGUGGGCAAUGUCAGUGAGAAGGUAGUGGAGUGACAGAGGGCUGGGCCCUCGGCAGAUUUGUCUCCUAGCAGGAAGAGGUGCUAGGUGAGCCGGAUGCACUUAACCUGCACGUGAUGCAUAAGCCAGUGCCACUUUGGGCCCCACAUGCAGGGCCUUCCAGCCCCUCAGAGACUGUCCAGGCCAUUUUUACUCCCUCCCUGGACCCCUAGAAGGCCAACCCAGGACUCACCUUCUACAGGCAGGUGGGGACCCUGGGCUCUGGGCCUAUCCAGCAAGGAUGGCCUAAAAUGCAGACCCUGGGUCCUGGGCAGGGGUCCUGUGCAGAGUGGCUGAUGAACCAGACUAGCAGUGCACUUCCAGCAGGGCGAGGCUCUUGGAGAUGGGGCAGCAGCUGGAUAGGGUCUGGACAAAGCCAUAUUGCAUCAACGUCCGGCUGGCCAGGGGGUUCACGGGCUCAGCACCCAGCGCUCCCAGGGCCUCUGGCAUGCUCCACCUCCAGUCCCAUCCCCAGCCUCAAGCUCCUCCACCCAACCCUCUCUGGGUGUCUACCUCAGUCUGUCUUCCAUCCAAGGAUUCAGUAGUCUGCACUGUCCCCAGAUUAGUGGCUAAGAUUGUGGGUUUAAAUCUUGGCUCCACAAUAUACUAGCUGUGUGACCUUGGGCAGUUCCUCUGCCUCUCUGGGCCUUAU
This 3740-nucleotide long non-coding RNA is filed under the name Homo sapiens (human). RNAcentral describes it as "non-protein coding lnc-EDC3-2:18". The record is from RNAcentral. Lineage: Eukaryota; Metazoa; Chordata; Mammalia; Primates; Hominidae.